Molecule: small nuclear RNA, 90 nt
Organism: Callithrix jacchus (white-tufted-ear marmoset)
Lineage: Eukaryota; Metazoa; Chordata; Mammalia; Primates; Cebidae
Source: Ensembl
GUGCUCACUUCAGCAGCACAUAUACUAAAAUUGGAACAAUACAGAGAAGAUUAGUGAAGCGUUCUAUACAGUGAAGCAUUCCAUAUUUCU